CCUACGGGUGGCAGCCGUGAGGAAUAUUGGUCAAUGGACGAGAGUCUGAACCAGCCAAGUAGCGUUAAGGAUGACUGCCCUAUGGGUUGUAAACUUCUUUUAUAUGGGAAUAAACUGUUCCACGUGUGGGCUUUUGUAUGUACCAUAUGACUAAGGAUCGGCUAACUCCGUGCCAGCAGCCGCGGUAAUACGGAGGAUCCGAUCGUUAUCCGGAUUUAUUGGGUUUAAAGGGAGCGUAGGUGGAUUGUUAAGUCAGUUGUGAAAGUUUGCGGCUCAACCGUAAAAUUGCAGUUGAAACUGGCAGUCUUGAGUACAGUAGAGGUGGGCGGAAUUCGUGGUGUAGCGGUGAAAUGCUUAGAUAUCACGAAGAACUCCGAUUGCGAAGGCAGCUCACUGGACUGCAACUGACACUGAGGCUCGAAAGUGUGGGUAUCAAACAGGAUUAGAUACCCCUGUAGUC
Molecule: ribosomal RNA, 460 nt
Filed under: uncultured bacterium
Lineage: Bacteria
Description: partial 16S ribosomal RNA
Rfam family: Bacterial small subunit ribosomal RNA
Source: RNAcentral